Lycium ferocissimum is the source of this 190-nucleotide long non-coding RNA. RefSeq lists it as uncharacterized. The record is from RefSeq and is a predicted model, not a curated record. The transcript has 2 exons. Lineage: Eukaryota; Viridiplantae; Streptophyta; Magnoliopsida; Solanales; Solanaceae.
AACGCUUUUGCUAAUACCCGGAAGUGGAUACCAUGAUUCUUCUGUCUAUCAAUAACCGCAUGCAUUGCACGGUGGAUGUGAAGAAGUAGACCAUUAUCUCGGCAAUAAUGAACCAAGCUAGUAUUUGCGUUGAAUAACCUUAGCUUAGAAGUGUCACUGGUUGCUUUGGUACUCUUGCUGUGUAAGGUGA